AGAGUUUGAUCAUGGCUCAGAACGAACGCUGGCGGCAUUAACACAUGCAAGUCGAACGGACCCUUCGGGGUGAGUGGCGGACGGGUGAGUAACGCGUGGGAACCUGCCCUGGGGUGGGGAAUAACCACUGGAAACGGUGGCUAAUACCGCACACGCCUUUAGAGGGAAAGACUUAGGUUGCCCUUGGAGGGGCCCGCGUCUGAUUAGCUUGUUGGUGGGGUAACGGCCCACCAAGGCUUCGAUCGGUAGCUGGUCUGAGAGGAUGAUCAGCCACACUGGGACUGAGACACGGCCCAGACUCCUACGGGAGGCAGCAGUGGGGAAUAUUGGACAAUGGGGGCAACCCUGAUCCAGCAAUGCCGCGUGAGUGAAGAAGGCCUUAGGGUUGUAAAGCUCUUUCGCUCGUGACGAUGAUGACGGUAACGAGAGAAGAAGCCCCGGCUAAUUCCGUGCCAGCAGCCGCGGUAAUACGGAAGGGGCUAGCGUUGUUCGGAUUUACUGGGCGUAAAGCGCAUGUAGGCGGCGGAUCAAGUGAGGCGUGAAAGGCCUGGGCUCAACCUGGGAACGGCGCUUCAGACUGAUUGGCUAGAGUUCGGGAGAGGGUGGUGGAAUUUCCAGUGUAGAGGUGAAAUUCGUAGAUAUUGGAAGGAACACCGGUGGCGAAGGNNNGCCACCUGGCCCGAAACUGACGCUCAAGUGCGAAACGUGGGGAGCAAACAGAUUAGAUACCCUAGUAGUCC
Molecule: ribosomal RNA, 740 nt
Filed under: uncultured bacterium
Lineage: Bacteria
Description: bacterial SSU rRNA
Rfam family: Bacterial small subunit ribosomal RNA
Source: RNAcentral